Molecule: ribosomal RNA, 497 nt
Filed under: uncultured bacterium
Lineage: Bacteria
Description: partial 16S ribosomal RNA
Rfam family: Bacterial small subunit ribosomal RNA
Source: RNAcentral
GAUGAACGCUGGCGGCGUGCCUAAUACAUGCAAGUCGAGCGAACGGACGAGAAGCUUGCUUCUCUGAUGUUAGCGGCGGACGGGUGAGUAACACGUGGAUAACCUACCUAUAAGACUGGGAUAACUUCGGGAAACCGUAGCUAAUACCGGAUAAUAUUUUGAACCGCAUGGUUCAAAAGUGAAAGACGGUCUUGCUGUCACUUAUAGAUGGAUCCGCGCUGCAUUAGCUAGUUGGUAAGGUAACGGCUUACCAAGGCAACGAUGCAUAGCCGACCUGAGAGGGUGAUCGGCCACACUGGACCUGAGACACGGUCCAGACUCCUACGGGAGGCAGCAGUAGGGAAUCUUCCGCAAUGGGCGAAAGCCUGACGGAGCAACGCCGCGUGAGUGAUGAAGGUCUUCGGAUCGUAAAACUCUGUUAUUAGGGAAGAACAUAUGUGUAAGUAACUGUGCACAUCUUGACGGUACCUAAUCAGAAAGCCACGGCUAACUACGUG